AUGCCGGCCACCGCCUUAACUGUUACCGGGUGGGGGCUGUCGCCGGUCAUCAAGGAGCUCGCAGAGGUGACGAAAUCCUUCCUGUAUGGCCGGUAUAGAAGCUUCAAGCGUUUCGUCGAUGAGCGUGCUCAGCUGGAGGAGAUCGUGAAGAAAGCCGAGCCCAUCAUGGAGAGACGGCGCGGCGUCCACGACGACGAGACGACGCGUGAGCUCAUAGAUGCCAUCGACGAGGUGAAGGGCGUCCUGGAUGCCUUUCUCUACCAGGACAUCCUCCUGGCCAACUUGGCAGCGAAGCACAACAAGCUCACACAAUUCGCCUACUCCGCGAGGAGAGCCGGCCGGCAGCUGGUCUACAAGGACGAGCCGUUCAGACGGCUCGAGAAGGUGUGGAAGAAGCUGCCCACAAUUGAUCAGAAAUUGCAGCUUUUUGCUGGAGAAGCCGCCUGCGAGCCAAUGGAGAAGAAGGCGACGGGCCCGCUGCCGUUGCCGGGGGAUAAGCUCUUCGUUGGGUACACCAAGGAGUAUGAUCAGCUGAUGUCAGCCUUGCUCAACGACCAGCCCAGCAGCAGCAACAACCGCCGCAACAUGGAUGUGGUAGCCGUGGUCGGCCCCGGCGGCUCCGGGACGACCACGAUGGCUCGGCGGGCAAUUAACGACCACAGAGUGGCGGAACAAUUCGAUUUGAAGGUAUGGGUGCAUGUUUCAAACACGUUCCUCAACACCCACCUGUUAGCAAAGAUCUGCAAGUCCAUGGAAGGAACCACAUGCCAAGCAGAAGCCGGGAUGCUGUUCAGCAAUCUCCAGCAGAUCGUUCGUGAAAGGUUCAGCUCCAAGAAGUUCCUGCUUGUGCUUGAUGACGUGUGCAACAAUGAAUCAGACAAUGACAUGGGGACAAGAUGA
This 900-nucleotide ribosomal RNA is filed under the name Triticum aestivum (bread wheat). Its description in RNAcentral is "partial small subunit ribosomal RNA". The record is from RNAcentral. Lineage: Eukaryota; Viridiplantae; Streptophyta; Magnoliopsida; Poales; Poaceae.